CUCGCCUGCCCAGUGACAAGUUAAACGGCCGCGGUAUUUUGACCGUGCGAAGGUAGCGCAAUCACUUGUCUUUUAAAUGAAGACCUGUAUGAAUGGUAGAACGAGGGCUUAACUGUCUCCCUUUUUAAGUCAAUGAAAUUGAUCUGCCCGUGCAGAAGCGGACAUAACAAUACAAGACGAGAAGACCCUUUGGAGCUUAAGACUCCAGAUCAAUUAUGUCAAGAACUUAUCAAGUUAAACCAAAUAACACCUGAUCCUAAUCUUUUGUUGGGGCGACCGCGGGAGAAAACAAAGCUCCCAUGAGGACUGGACCCACCUCCAGAACCAAGAAAGACAUCUCUAAGUCACAGAACCUCUGACCAUAAAGAUCCGGCCACCCGCCGACCAACGAACCAAGUUACCCUAGGGAUAACAGCGCAAUCCCCUUUCAGAGUCCAUAUCGACAAGGGGGUUUACGACCUCGAUGUUGGA
This 471-nucleotide ribosomal RNA is filed under the name Netuma bilineata (bronze catfish). RNAcentral's name for it is "partial large subunit ribosomal RNA". It matches the Rfam family "Bacterial large subunit ribosomal RNA", at positions 1854 to 2536 of the family's 2925-position model. The record is from RNAcentral. Lineage: Eukaryota; Metazoa; Chordata; Actinopteri; Siluriformes; Ariidae.